RNAcentral lists this ribosomal RNA (322 nucleotides) under uncultured Pseudomonadota bacterium. RNAcentral's name for it is "bacterial SSU rRNA". It matches the Rfam family "Bacterial small subunit ribosomal RNA", at positions 30 to 351 of the family's 1533-position model. The record is from RNAcentral. Lineage: Bacteria; Pseudomonadati; Pseudomonadota.
AUUGAACGCUGGCGGUAUGCUUAACACAUGCAAGUCGAACGGUAACAGGCCUUCGGGCGCUGACGAGUGGCGGACGGGUGAGUAACGCGUAGGAAUCUGCCUCAUAGUGGGGGGACAACGUGGGGAAACUCACGCUAAUACCGCAUACGCCCUACGGGGGGAAAGCGGGGGGAUCUUCGGACCUCGCGCUAUGAGAUGAGCCUGCGUUAGAUUAGCUAGUUGGUAGGGUAAAGGCCUACCAAGGCCACGAUCUAUAGCUGGUUUGAGAGGACGAUCAGCCACACUGGGACUGAGACACGGCCCAGACUCCUACGGGUGGCAG